GCAUCUUUAAGCCUUUUACACUUGACACCUCAAUGCCCUCAAGUCCUCAAUACCUUUUUAAUAGCCCCACCCCACCUCAUUACUCUUGAACUUGCCCAAUGUGGGACUAACCAAGACUUCCCUACAUUUAGACAUCGAGUUCUAAUAAAAUAUUAUCUCCAAUGCUUUCUACUAUGUUCGUGAAACAUUAUAGAAAUUUCAAAAAGGGUAAGCUCAAGUCAUCGGUCAUCCACAAGUUUCUAUUGAUAGAAGAAUACAAAUGCAGAAGCUAUCGCGAAGAAAUGCAGAAGCUAUCGCGAAGCAGUGUGAAAAAAUAGGCAUAACAUGCAAAAGAAAUAUGUUAAGGUACAAAGUCGAUGACUAGUAUAGUAUUAUUUAGAAUUACUGCUUUUACUUGUGGAUAAAAAAAAUAAACUUUUACUUAUUGUAACUCAUGGUAUAUAGGUGAAGGUUUUUAUGAGGUGCUCUUCUUAUACUAUAGAAAUAAGGUGCAUCUCUAAAUUUUGCCUAUAGAUGUAGUUCCGGUAUUCAAAACUCCAUAUCAGCUUGAAAAUUUAUUUUCAAUCCUAGUCAUGAAAUUUAAAAUCCCAAAAUUCCAAAAUGGUACAGCUUAAACAGAUUUAUAAAUGCUUGAAGACCUUGAAAAACCAUCGUCUCUCUCUCUCUCUCUCUCUCUCUCUCUCUCUCUCUCUCUCUCUCUCUCUACUCUCUACUACUACUACUACGUACUACGUACUACGUACGUACGUACUACGUACGUACGUACGUACGUAACGUACGUACGUACGUAANNNNNNNNNNNNNNNNNNNNUUUAAAUUUUUACUUAAUUACCUACGUUACUACUAGUAAAUUUAAAAAUUAACCCUAAAACUUAACCUAAAACUAACGGUAACGUAAGACGUUAAACUAACGAAGUUUAUUAAAUUAAGUACUGUAGACGUACGUAAACCAACUACGUCUCUCUCUCUCUCUCUCUCUCUCUCUCUCUCUCUCUCUCUCUACCACCACUAAAGAGAGAGAGAGAAUCAAGUAAGUUUUGCCAAGGCUUAGGAGUUUGGACAACGAAACCAACAAUUUGUAAUUAUAUAAAAAGUAAAGGGACAAUCACCUAGAUUUUCCUGUUUUUCCUUUAAAACCAAACAAUCUUAAAGUAGAUCUUUUGCUACCAUAUCAUUACUUCAAAAUUCAAAUGGCAUAUAGCCACCAUAAAACAUCAAUAUCUUUCUCAUCACAUCACAAACAACACCAAAUACAUGAAAACUAAGAUUAUUAGAGCAAACAAACAAGUAGUACAAAACAGAGAGUAAAUAAAACAAUUAAAAAUAAAAAGGAUGAAUAGUAUGUUUCUUUCAAAAAUUAAAACUCCUAAGUUAAUACAAAACUAAAAAAAUAAAAUGAGUUAGAGAGAUCCAUUUUAUUGCCAUGAGUUGUAUUUUAAAUUUCAUUUUGAUUAUAAAAUGAAUUUAAUAGACAACAAAUCAGACAUGAAACAGAUUCUCAGUAUUUCCAUAUUUUUGACACAAUAGGGGAAAAUCAUAGUGUAAUUACCACUAAUUUUUUUAAAAUAAAAAAAACUAGACUUUU
RNAcentral lists this long non-coding RNA (1585 nucleotides) under Amborella trichopoda. RNAcentral's name for it is "long non-coding RNA (ATRI_LNC000260)". The record is from RNAcentral. Lineage: Eukaryota; Viridiplantae; Streptophyta; Magnoliopsida; Amborellales; Amborellaceae.